GAUGAACGCUGGCGGCGUGCCUAACACAUGCAAGUCGAACGUGAAGGUCAGAAUGAGGACUUCGGUUUGAAUUUUGGCUGGAAAGUGGCGAACGGGUGAGUAACACGUAGGUAAUCUGCCUCGAAGUGGGGGAUAACCAUUGGAAACGAUGGCUAAUACCGCAUGGGACUGUCGAUAUGGGAGUAUCGACAGGUAAAGCUCUGGCGCUUCGAGAGGAGCCUGCGUCCGAUUAGCUAGUUGGUGGGGUAAAGGCCCACCAAGGCGACGAUCGGUAGCUGGUCUGAGAGGACGACCAGCCACACGGGGACUGAGACACGGCCCCGACUCCUACGGGGGGCAGCAGUGAGGAAUAUUGCACAAUGGGGGCAACCCUGAUGCAGCAACGCCGCGUGGAGGAUGAAGGCCUUUGGGUCGUAAACUCCUUUUUUGGGGGAAGAGGAAGGACGGUACCCCAAGAAUAAGUCACGGCUAACUACGUGCCAGCCGCCGCCGUAACAC
RNAcentral lists this ribosomal RNA (498 nucleotides) under uncultured bacterium. RNAcentral's name for it is "bacterial SSU rRNA". It matches the Rfam family "Bacterial small subunit ribosomal RNA", at positions 28 to 526 of the family's 1533-position model. The record is from RNAcentral.